GCCUUCGUGGUGUAAUGGUCAGCACACUGAGCCGGUAAUUCAGAGGUCCGCGGUUCGAUUCCCGGCGAAGGCG
Non-coding RNA from Stegodyphus mimosarum, 73 nucleotides. The record is from Rfam. Lineage: Eukaryota; Metazoa; Arthropoda; Arachnida; Araneae; Eresidae.